UGUGUCCUCAGUACACGAAUGCCCCACUCGCACUAUCAUUUUCUAUGUUCAGUGGACCGUGAAAUUCGGGUAAAAUCUCUAAUUUGGCAUUAAAAUUAAAAAGAUCAUAUCAUAGGGAACAUGUGUACCAAGUUUGAAGUCAAUUGGACUUCAACUUCAUCAAAAACUACCUUGACCAAAAACUUUAACCUGAAGCGGGACAGACGGACGAACAGACAGACAGACGGACGGACGGACGGACGGACGGACGGACGAACGGACGCACAGACCAGAACACAUAAUGCCCCUCUACUAUCGUAGGUGGGGCAUAAAAAUCAAA
RNAcentral lists this long non-coding RNA (319 nucleotides) under Mytilus galloprovincialis (Mediterranean mussel). The record is from RNAcentral. Lineage: Eukaryota; Metazoa; Mollusca; Bivalvia; Mytilida; Mytilidae.